UUUCUAUUAUGUUGUAUGACACUUUUAAUUUAAAAAAAAAAAAAAACUAUGCAAGUAUUCCCUCCGUCCUAUUGCAAAUGUCCCACUUUUCAUAAUGGGAUGUCUCAUUACAAAUAUCUCAUUCAUUUUUUUGCAAUAUAUUUUCUCUAUGUACCUAAUAUUUAAACAAUUUUUACUAAUCAUCUUUAUUUACUUUCUACAUAUUUUUUAAUUUUUG
RNAcentral lists this long non-coding RNA (217 nucleotides) under Salvia miltiorrhiza (redroot sage). RNAcentral's name for it is "long non-coding RNA (SMIL_LNC010231)". Lineage: Eukaryota; Viridiplantae; Streptophyta; Magnoliopsida; Lamiales; Lamiaceae. The record is from RNAcentral.